Molecule: transfer RNA, 79 nt
Filed under: Paracoccaceae bacterium
Lineage: Bacteria; Pseudomonadati; Pseudomonadota; Alphaproteobacteria; Rhodobacterales; Paracoccaceae
Description: Rhodobacteraceae bacterium (activated sludge metagenome) tRNA-Thr
Rfam family: tRNA
About the family: Transfer RNA (tRNA) molecules are approximately 80 nucleotides in length. Their secondary structure includes four short double-helical elements and three loops (D, anti-codon, and T loops).
Source: RNAcentral
GCCGGUGUAGCUCAGCUNNUGGUAGAGCACGUCAUUCGUAAUGAUGGGGUCGGGGGUUCGAGUCCCUUCACCGGCACCA